Molecule: ribosomal RNA, 468 nt
Filed under: uncultured bacterium
Lineage: Bacteria
Description: partial 16S ribosomal RNA
Rfam family: Bacterial small subunit ribosomal RNA
Source: RNAcentral
GACGAACGCUGGCGGCAUGCUUAACACAUGCAAGUCGAACGGAAAGGCCCUGUUUUUGUGCGGUGCUCGAGUGGAGAACGGGUGAGUAACACGUGGGUAACGUGCCACUGACUUUGAGAUAAGUUAAGGAAACAGGGGCUAAUACCGGAUAGGAGCUCCUGCUGCAGGGUGGGGGUUGGACAGUUUCGGCGGUUGGGAAUGAACUCGCGGCUUAUCAGAUUGUUGGUUGGGUAGUGUCUUACCAAGGCUUUGACGGGUAGCCGGCCUGAGAGGGUGACAUGCCAAACUGGAACUGAGAUACGGCCCAGACUCCUACGGUGGGCAACAGUGCGGUAUAUAGCACUAGGGGCGGAAGCCUAAUGUGGCAACGCCGCGUGCGGGGUGAGAUCAUUCGGGUUGUGAACCGCUGUCGUCUUAGACGAAGCGUGAAUGACGGUAAUGGGUAAAGAAGCACCGGCUAACUACGUG